GCCCCCUGACCUGCGGGAAUCCUGAACAGUGCAAUGGCCUCCGGAGCCGUGUGCGCAGGUUCGAAUCCUGCCGGGGGCA
RNAcentral lists this transfer RNA (79 nucleotides) under Streptomyces calvus. Its description in RNAcentral is "tRNA-Arg". Lineage: Bacteria; Bacillati; Actinomycetota; Actinomycetes; Kitasatosporales; Streptomycetaceae. The record is from RNAcentral.